AUUGAACGCUGGCGGCAGGCCUAACACAUGCAAGUCGAACGGUAACAGGAAGAAGCUUGCUUCGUUGCUGACGAGUGGCGGACGGGUGAGUAAUGUCUGGGAAACUGCCUGAUGGAGGGGAUAACUACUGGAAACGGUAGCUAAUACCGCAUAACGUCGCAAGACCAAAGAGGGGGACCUUCGGGCCUCUUGCCAUCGGAUGGGCCCAGAUGGGAUUAGCUAGUAGGUGGGGUAACGGCUCACCUAGGCGACGAUCCCUAGCUGGACUGAGAGGAUGACCAGCCACACUGGAACUGAGACACGGUCCCGACUCCUACGGGAGGCAGCAGUGGGGAAUAUUGCACGAUGGGCGCAAGCCUGAUGCAGCCAUGCCGCGUGUAUGAAGAAGGCCUUCGGGUUGUAAAGUACUUUCAGCGGGGAGGAAGGGAGUAAAGUUAAUACCCUUGCUCAUUGACGUUACCCGCAGAAGAAGCACCGGCUAACUCCGUG
RNAcentral lists this ribosomal RNA (489 nucleotides) under uncultured bacterium. Its description in RNAcentral is "partial 16S ribosomal RNA". It matches the Rfam family "Bacterial small subunit ribosomal RNA", at positions 30 to 507 of the family's 1533-position model. The record is from RNAcentral.